This 1212-nucleotide long non-coding RNA is filed under the name Homo sapiens (human). RNAcentral describes it as "HSALNT0129311". Lineage: Eukaryota; Metazoa; Chordata; Mammalia; Primates; Hominidae. The record is from RNAcentral.
CAGCCUGGUCUCUCACAGGAGGGUCUUAGGCCUGCUUCAGGGGAAGGUCAGAAAAGUCUUCCUAGGUUUUAGGACCUGCUGCAGAGGGGAAAGAAGAGGAAUGGCCAGGGGAGGUCAGAGAAACCUUCCUGAACAUGCUGUUUCUCAAAUUCCUUCUGCUUAAACUGUUCGCUAUGCUAAGGUGCCAGAUUUGGGAGUAGCGUGUCCUGAAGACCAUCAACUUUGCAGGUGGUUUGAUGUGGUUACAAGUGCUUAAAAAUGCCCUCUGUUGCCUCAUCUUUGAAAUGGGAUAACAGUGAUACUAAUAGCUCCUGUCCAACAGAGGCAUUCAGUGCCUGGCAUGUCAUUAGUAUUAUAUAUACAUAACAAAUAAUAUCCUGUCUGUUUCUUUGAGGAGUUUCAGACACACUAUCAAGAAAGCCUGCUGUGUUGAAGUGUAAGAGUGCAGCCCCGCUUACAGCGCUUCUUGGUUAGAAAGGCCCAGGCUAGGCUGGGCAUGGUAGCUCAUGCCUGUAAUCCUGGCACUUUGGGAGGCCGAGGCAGGUGGAUCACUUGAGGUCAGGAGUUUGAGACCAGCCUGGCCAACAUGGUGAAACCCCAUGUCUACUAAAAAUACAAAAAGUUAGCCGGGCAUAGUGGCGGGUGCUUAUAAUCCCAGCUACUCAGGAGGCUGAGACAGGAGAAUCGCUUGAACCUGGGAGAUGGAGGUUGCAGUGAGCCAAGACCAUGCCAUUGCACUCCAGCCUGGGCAACAGAGAGAGACUUCCUCUCAAAAAAAAAAAAAAAAAAAAAAAAAAACAACAAAGAAAGGCCCCAGGCUAUGGCAGGGUGGACCCAAGACUGUUACUUGCUGUAUGUGGACACCUAAAGGCCCCCAGAACCAUCCAUCCUCAUCAUAGAAACUGGACGUUCUGAUCUUACACGAUUGUUUCAGCCCCCUCCCCACACAUGCCGACUGCCCUCAGUGUCUGCUUCCUUAAGCCUGCUUCCAUUUUAGCUAUUAGCGAGGGUUUUGCAUCUCGUUGCCUGCCAGCAUAUUAUGUGCAUCUCAUUAACUCUGAAGGCUCCACUACCCUUUAGGGACCAGACCUUCACAGACGUAAUGGCCUUCUGCCUGAGGUUUGAGUUUGCUGUUACUCUUUCUACCUUGGCUGAGGAAUGUCAGCCCAUGGAUUUCUAAUAAGUUCACAAAUUGCUCUAUGAAAUUGAGGU